UACGAGGGGGGCAAGUGUUGUUCGGAAUUACUGGGCGUAAAGCGCGCGCAGGCGGUCUUCCAAGUCAGUGGUGAAAGCCCGGAGCUCAACUCCGGAACUGCCAUUGAAACUGUUAGACUUGAGGACGAGAGAGGUGAGUGGAAUUCCCGGUGUAGAGGUGAAAUUCGUAGAUAUUGGGAAGAACACCGGUGGCGAAGGCGGCUCACUGGCUCGUUUCUGACGCUCAGGCGCGACAGCGUGGGGAUCAAACAGG
This 253-nucleotide ribosomal RNA is filed under the name uncultured bacterium. RNAcentral describes it as "partial 16S ribosomal RNA". It matches the Rfam family "Bacterial small subunit ribosomal RNA", at positions 524 to 776 of the family's 1533-position model. The record is from RNAcentral.